GGUGGUUCAUUGGUAGAAUGCUUGUCUUGCAUGCAUGAGGCCCUGGGUUCGAUUCCUCAGCACCA
Molecule: transfer RNA, 65 nt
Filed under: Dipodomys ordii (Ord's kangaroo rat)
Lineage: Eukaryota; Metazoa; Chordata; Mammalia; Rodentia; Heteromyidae
Rfam family: tRNA
About the family: Transfer RNA (tRNA) molecules are approximately 80 nucleotides in length. Their secondary structure includes four short double-helical elements and three loops (D, anti-codon, and T loops). Further hydrogen bonds mediate the characteristic L-shaped molecular structure. tRNAs have two regions of fundamental functional importance: the anti-codon, which is responsible for specific mRNA codon recognition, and the 3' end, to which the tRNAs corresponding amino acid is attached (by aminoacyl-tRNA synthetases). tRNAs cope with the degeneracy of the genetic code in two manners: having more than one tRNA (with a specific anti-codon) for a particular amino acid; and 'wobble' base-pairing, i.e. permitting non-standard base-pairing at the 3rd anti-codon position.
Source: Rfam by way of RNAcentral